Cannabis sativa is the source of this 653-nucleotide long non-coding RNA. RefSeq lists it as uncharacterized. The record is from RefSeq and is a predicted model, not a curated record. The transcript has 2 exons. Lineage: Eukaryota; Viridiplantae; Streptophyta; Magnoliopsida; Rosales; Cannabaceae.
UAUUCAAAGCAGGCCAAGAGUUGGUUGUGUAUGUAGAUGGUGAUCAUGAAUUUGUUGUGUUUGACCCGCAGAGUAGCGAAACACAUGAACUUAGCCUAACUGGACAACAAAACCUUGCUACCAUUGAGGAAACAGUAGAACAACUUGGAUAUGCAUCUGUGUAUGGUGAGCUACCCGAGUUUGAGUUGAAGAGCAAGGAUGAUGAGUUGUGGGAAGCAACAGCUCCUUCGAGACCCUCGGAGAGACCGUGGGAGAGUAUAUUCAGUGGAUCAAGUCAUGAUCUUCCACCCCUCACUAAAUUAUGUUCACCUUUUUUGGAGUCCUUGCUGGAAAGGAGGACUACUACUUCUACUACUGCCAUUGUUGAAUGAUCAUUUCCAAUUAAGAAGCAACCAAUGAAUGUUGUUGCUUUGCUGAUAGUUUUGGUCAAAUUAAUUAUGAUUAGCUCAAAAUUAAGGCAAAUCCAUUUUGUUAUUGGAUUUUACAUGAUGAUGUUUUUGUACCAAUGUUUGUGAGUCACAAAAGUAAUAUAAUCUUAUGUUUCAAUUUCCUUUUCUGUUACAAAACAAAAAAUUAUUACAGUAGAGAUAAUACUUUGAGAUAUUGUAAUUUACACUAUUAUUCUGUAAUGAAAAUUUUUGUAUUCUUUUUUC